This 1154-nucleotide ribosomal RNA is filed under the name Nesterenkonia sp. RNAcentral's name for it is "bacterial SSU rRNA". It matches the Rfam family "Bacterial small subunit ribosomal RNA", at positions 54 to 1216 of the family's 1533-position model. Lineage: Bacteria; Bacillati; Actinomycetota; Actinomycetes; Micrococcales; Micrococcaceae. The record is from RNAcentral.
CAUGCAAGUCGAACGAUGAAGCUUCCUGCUUGCAGGAAGUGGAUUAGUGGCGAACGGGUGAGUAUCACGUGAGCAACCUGCCCUUGACUCUGGGAUAAGCCUGGGAAACUGGGUCUAAUACCGGAUAUAACCUCUUACCGCAUGGUGAGUGGUGGAAAGCUUUUGCGGUCUUGGAUGGGCUCGCGGCCUAUCAGCUUGACGGUGAGGUAGUGGCUCACCGUGGCGAUGACGGGUAGCCGGCCUGAGAGGGUGACCGGCCACACUGGGACUGAGACACGGCCCAGACUCCUACGGGAGGCAGCAGUGGGGAAUAUUGCACAAUGGGCGAAAGCCUGAUGCAGCGACGCCGCGUGCGGGAUGACGGCCUUCGGGUUGUAAACCGCUUUCAGCAGGGAAGAAGCGCAAGUGACGGUACCUGCAGAAGAAGCGCCGGCUAACUACGUGCCAGCAGCCGCGGUAAUACGUAGGGCGCGAGCGUUAUCCGGAAUUAUUGGGCGUAAAGAGCUCGUAGGCGGUUUGCCGCGUCUGCUGUGAAAGCCCGGGGCUUAACCCCGGGUGUGCAGUGGGUACGGGCAGACUAGAGUGCAGUAGGGGAGACUGGAAUUCCUGGUGUAGCGGUGAAAUGCGCAGAUAUCAGGAGGAACACCGAUGGCGAAGGCAGGUCUCUGGGCUGUUACUGACGCUGAGGAGCGAAAGCAUGGGGAGCGAACAGGAUUAGAUACCCUGGUAGUCCAUGCCGUAAACGUUGGGCACUAGGUGUGGGGGACAUUCCACGUUUUCCGCGCCGUAGCUAACGCAUUAAGUGCCCCGCCUGGGGAGUACGGCCGCAAGGCUAAAACUCAAAGGAAUUGACGGGGGCCCGCACAAGCGGCGGAGCAUGCGGAUUAAUUCGAUGCAACGCGAAGAACCUUACCAAGGCUUGACAUGGACCGGACCGCUGCAGAGAUGCAGCUUCCCUUCGGGGCUGGUUCACAGGUGGUGCAUGGUUGUCGUCAGCUCGUGUCGUGAGAUGUUGGGUUAAGUCCCGCAACGAGCGCAACCCUUGUCCUAUGUUGCCAGCACGUAAAGGUGGGGACUCAUGGGAGACUGCCGGGGUCAACUCGGAGGAAGGUGGGGAUGACGUCAAAUCAUCAUGCCCCUUAUGUCUUGGGCUU